GUGGGUGUGGUGUAUGGUACACGGCCGCCCACCAUUGAUUGGAACUUUGCAAGCUUGUAGGCAGCAGAACCGGGUUCGAUUCCUGGCACCCACA
This is a non-coding RNA of Mycena metata, 94 nucleotides long. The record is from the annotation of a GenBank genome assembly. Lineage: Eukaryota; Fungi; Basidiomycota; Agaricomycetes; Agaricales; Mycenaceae.